GCCUGGGAACUACGAGCUAAGCUUAAAACCCAAAGGACUUGACGGUACCCCGCAUCCCUCUAGAGGAGCCUGUCCUAUAAUCGAUAACCCCCGUUUAACCUCACCACUUUUAGUCCAUCAGCCUGUAUACUUCCGUCGUCAGCUUACCACAUGAGUGGGAUAAGUAAGCUUAAUGUCCCCUUUUAUCAAUACGUCAGGUCAAAGUGCAGCAAAUAAAGUGGGAAGAGAUGGGCUACACUUUCUACAUUAGAAAAUACGAAAGAUCUUAUGAAAUAAUAUCAGAAGGCGGAUUUAGCAGUAAAGCGGGAAUAGAGUACCCCCUUUA
This 325-nucleotide ribosomal RNA is filed under the name Pristimantis sagittulus. Its description in RNAcentral is "partial 12S ribosomal RNA". It matches the Rfam family "Bacterial small subunit ribosomal RNA", at positions 871 to 1365 of the family's 1533-position model. Lineage: Eukaryota; Metazoa; Chordata; Amphibia; Anura; Strabomantidae. The record is from RNAcentral.